This 331-nucleotide ribosomal RNA is filed under the name uncultured eukaryote. Its description in RNAcentral is "partial 18S ribosomal RNA". It matches the Rfam family "Eukaryotic small subunit ribosomal RNA", at positions 1470 to 1796 of the family's 1831-position model. The record is from RNAcentral.
CCCUUAGAUGUUCGGGGCCGCACGCGCGCUACAAUGAGUCGAUCAACGUGCGUAUAUUUCCAAGGCCGAAAGGUCGAGGUAAUCCGUUGAACCCGACUCGUGCUAGGGAUAGGGACUUGUAAUUGUUUCCCUUGAACGAGGAAUUCCCAGUAAGCGCAAGUCAUCAGCUUGCGUUGAUUACGUCCCUGCCCUUUGUACACACCGCCCGUCGCUACUACCGAUUGAAUGAUCCGAUGAAUAUCAUGGAUUGAGGAUGCAAGUAGGUUCGCCUAUCUUCAUCUUCGAGAAGUGAAGUAAAUCUUAUCAUUUAGAGGAAGGAGAAGUCGUAACA